Molecule: ribosomal RNA, 236 nt
Filed under: uncultured bacterium
Lineage: Bacteria
Description: partial 16S ribosomal RNA
Rfam family: Bacterial small subunit ribosomal RNA
Source: RNAcentral
UCGGGGUUAGUGGCGGACGGGUGAGUAACACGUGGGAACGUGCCUUUAGGUUCGGAAUAGCUCCUGGAAACGGGUGGUAAUGCCGAAUGUGCCCUUCGGGGGAAAGAUUUAUCGCCAUUAGAGCGGCCCGCGUCUGAUUAGCUAGUUGGUGAGGUAAAGGCUCACCAAGGCUACGAUCAGUAGCUGGUCUGAGAGGAUGAUCAGCCACACUGGAACUGAGACACGGUCCAGACUCC